UAACUUAUGUGCCUUUUAUUUAUAUACCGCUUUUACCAUUAUUUAUUUUAAAAGACUUGCGACGUCGUGAAAACACGUCUCUGACCACGUCGCCAUCAUGGCACCCGUGGUCGUCAACACAUUUCGACUUCGUCGAGAUUUGGAUUUGGUUCGCAUCAAUGCGCACCCGAGUUUAAGAACAUAAAUUAAGUAAAUCGUGUUUAAAGGUUCUAACAUAAUAUUGUUUGGGAAAUGCCUUUGAAAUUCACUAAACGGCCCUUCCGAAUUCUAAUCAUUUUAAUAACCAAAUAUUAAGGGCCUCACAUUUAUUUUUGUUCGGUGAGGCUCGUCUCGAUUUUUUAACCCUUUUUUAUCAUUAUUUAUUUUAUAAGAAUUACGACGUCAUGAAAACGCAUUUCUAACAGGGUUUCCAUCAAGGCACCCGUGAUUAUCAACACAUUUCGACUUCGUCGAGAUUUGGAUUUGGGUCGCAUCAAUGCGCACCCGAGUUUAAGAAAAAAAUUUACUUAAAUCGCGCCUAAAGAUUCUAACGCGUUGUUAUCUUCGCGAGGGCCAUGAAAAUUUAACUAAUGGUACACCUUGAUUUCUAAAGAGUUAAAAUUAAUUAAGCUAGGGCCAUGUAUAGAAAAAUUAUUGUAGAAAGAGGGUAGAUUUCAAUUAUUAGAAUUAUCUAUGUGGAACAAACUUUAUUGAUUAAGAAGAUAGACAAGCUGGAAUAUUAUUGAUGAAAUGAAUUUCAUUUAAAUCAUUGACUUAUUUACUUUCCUAUUCUAACAAGUUCCUAGAAUACUCUUUUUUUUAAAUUCCAUCUAUUUAUAAAUGUAUAUGGAGGGAUACGAGCAACAAAAUAGAUAAAGAACAUGAAUAAGAUGACAUACUAGACAUCAAACUUAUUUUCGUCCAUGUACUAAUAAAACUAGUACAAGGAAAACUAUCCAAAAGAGGAUCAACAGAUAAAAAAAACAAUCCAUUCACUUUCUCAAAACUUCCACUUGAGCAAAUAAAACCAUCAUUUCAUUGAAUUGAUUAUAUUUUACCAUUUAUCUAAGAACAAAUUUCCUAAAUAAUUCAAACCAAACAGGCCGAGCAACAGUACACUCUCUUACUCAUAUCCACAUAUUUUCCUAACUAAGAGAUCAAAUUUUUUACAAACUUUUCAACAUCAAAUUUAGAUUCUUCAUCAAAACCAAAAAGAAAAUCGCAAUACCAAAGCAUAAUACAGUUGAAACCAAAAGUACAUAUAAAACGUUUCAACAACAAAUUUAGAAUCUUCAUCAAAACCAAAAGAAAAUCACAAUACCAAAGCAUAAUACAGUAGAAACCAAUAGUACAUAUUUAUUAAAGAGCUGAGAAAAGCUAAACAAAACAGACCCAAAUGAAAAGGAAUAAGGGACUUACGAACUUUUGAAAAUUCUCUUGUAAAUCAAGACAAGGACAGAAACCGGGAAUAAUAAACCCGAAGCCAGAACCACCAUCGGUGACGCCGAACGGAAUACCUAUCUUUUGGUUGUAGCAAGAUGGUUUUAUAAAGGGUGUGAGGUGUGGUGUUAUGUGAGGGAGUUUUA
RNAcentral lists this long non-coding RNA (1565 nucleotides) under Nicotiana benthamiana. Its description in RNAcentral is "long non-coding RNA (NBEN_LNC023180)". The record is from RNAcentral. Lineage: Eukaryota; Viridiplantae; Streptophyta; Magnoliopsida; Solanales; Solanaceae.